UCUCUGGUGGCUCAGUGGUAAAGAAUCUGCCUGCAAAGCAGGAGACCCAGGUUCGAUCCCUGGGUGGGGAA
Molecule: transfer RNA, 71 nt
Filed under: Bos taurus (domestic cattle)
Lineage: Eukaryota; Metazoa; Chordata; Mammalia; Artiodactyla; Bovidae
Also listed under: 5 other names
Rfam family: tRNA
About the family: Transfer RNA (tRNA) molecules are approximately 80 nucleotides in length. Their secondary structure includes four short double-helical elements and three loops (D, anti-codon, and T loops). Further hydrogen bonds mediate the characteristic L-shaped molecular structure. tRNAs have two regions of fundamental functional importance: the anti-codon, which is responsible for specific mRNA codon recognition, and the 3' end, to which the tRNAs corresponding amino acid is attached (by aminoacyl-tRNA synthetases). tRNAs cope with the degeneracy of the genetic code in two manners: having more than one tRNA (with a specific anti-codon) for a particular amino acid; and 'wobble' base-pairing, i.e. permitting non-standard base-pairing at the 3rd anti-codon position.
Source: Rfam by way of RNAcentral